This 253-nucleotide ribosomal RNA is filed under the name uncultured bacterium. RNAcentral's name for it is "partial 16S ribosomal RNA". It matches the Rfam family "Bacterial small subunit ribosomal RNA", at positions 524 to 776 of the family's 1533-position model. The record is from RNAcentral.
UACGGAGGGAGCUAGCGUUGUUCGGAAUCACUGGGCGUAAAGCGCACGUAGGCGGCUAUUCAAGUCAGGGGUGAAAGCCCGGGGCUCAACCCCGGAACUGCCUUUGAAACUAGAUAGCUUGAAUCUUGGAGAGGCGAGUGGAAUUCCGAGUGUAGAGGUGAAAUUCGUAGAUAUUCGGAAGAACACCAGUGGCGAAGGCGACUCGCUGGACAAGUAUUGACGCUGAGGUGCGAAAGCGUGGGGAGCAAACAGG